AUGGUGGAGGUAGGCGUACUGCUUGUUGCAGCGGGUGAUUUCCUGUUUUCUGCUAGCUUGGGGUGUAUGUUCCCUUAUCGUUAGGUGACAGUUGGGGAUGAUCUGGCCUGCUUUUUUGUAGUUGUAGGUGGCUGCUUAUGAUUUUCCCCUGGUAGCUGAGGCAUGUCUGAAUGUGUUCCAGCAAGCUCUCUGAAUUUGAUGCUUCUAUUAUUGUGUAAUUUUACCCCCCGAGACUUGUAAUGUAGCUCAAAAAUACAGUGGAUCAUACCCCCAGAAUUACAGUGUAACUACUGUGUAAUAGGUUUGCAGAACCUCACUGUCCCAUCUUUUGCAGUCUAAUUCUGCCAUUUUCACAGUGCAAUUAUCAUGCUUUACAGUGUAAUUCUCCCAUAUCUAUAAUUACUGUGUGAUUCUCCCAAAUACUGUGUUAUUUAUUGUUUAAUUACAGUGUUAUUUGUGCUAGCAGUACUGUGUAAUUUCCCCCCUAAUUCCAGUGUAUAUUCUUGAUUACAGUGUAUAUUCCCAGAUAUGCAAGAUUUUUCAAUGUAUUUAUGCCAGGAAUCACUGUGUAAUUUGUCCUAGUAUGUCCACAGGAAUUUAGCCCAAUUACUCAUGUACUGUGUAUAUGCAGAUUUUUCAGUAUAUUAUGCCUGGAAUCACUGUGUAAUUCGUCCUAUUUAUGUUCACAGUAAUUUAGCUCAAUUACUCAUGUAAUUUACAGUGUAUUCGCCCAGAUUUACAGUGUUUUUAUGCCCUGGAAUCACUAUGUAUACGCCCAGAUCACUGUGUAGUUUACUUUGUAAAUUUAGCCCAACCACUCAUGUAAUUACAGUGUAUUUCCAUAUAGUUUUACACUGUAAUUUGUAUGGUUACAAUGUAAUUCCGUAGAGUUUUUCACUGUAAUUUGUAUGGUUUGAGGACUGUAAUUUUUGUAUGACUUACAAUGCAAUUCACCAGAGUUUUACAUUGUAUUUCCCUAGACUUCAUUGUAAAUUUGUAUGUUUGAGGACUGUAAUUUCAAUAUGACUUACAAUGUAAUUCAUCAGAAUUUUACACUAUAUUUCCCUAGAGUAAUUUCAGUAUGACUUACAAUGUAACUCAUCAGAAUUUUACACUGUAUUUGCCUAGAGGACUUUAAUUUCAGUAUGACUUACAAUGUAAUUCAUCAGACUUUUACACUGUAUUUUCUGUAGAGUAUUACACUGUAAUUUGUGUGCUUGAGGACUGUAAUUACAGUAUGACUUAUUAUGUAUUUCUCCAGAGUCUUACAGUGUCUAUGCGUUUAAUAUUCAGUUGUCUAGUUUGUGGUUUUGUAGCUUCUAGAUCUAGGUCUGGGGAUUGUUGGUUGUAGUGUUUGCGUUGGUUCUGGUUUAUUUGCCUAAUGAUUUUUGCCUUUGUGAUUUUAGGUUUGGUUCAAUGCGGAAAGUUUCUCACAAGGAUGUACCACUAGUCUCUUCUCUUGAGAGUGCAGAUUCUCUGAAUGAUCUGUUUGUGCCUAAUGAUCUUGCAGAUGAUGGUUCUAAUCCUAUGUCUUUGGUAUUUAUUUCUUUUUCUUCCCUAGUUUUAAUUAAUUUGAAUUAUUUCUUUUCAUUUUUAAUUUUAUGUGUAUGUUCACUUUAAUUUUAUUUCAGGAAAUCUCUAGUGAUGAUGGAGGGCUUGACAAAUCUCAAGUAAAUUCUU
RNAcentral lists this long non-coding RNA (1680 nucleotides) under Triticum aestivum (bread wheat). RNAcentral's name for it is "long non-coding RNA (TAES_LNC014055)". The record is from RNAcentral. Lineage: Eukaryota; Viridiplantae; Streptophyta; Magnoliopsida; Poales; Poaceae.